GAGACGCCAAAUUCAUACACGAACGCUAGAAAAUGCUAAUACACUUUGCGGUAUUUCUAUCACCUCCAGUAUCUUAUUACAUUCAUAAGGACAGGGAAUUAAGCUAGGGGGCCAUUUUAGUUUAACUCGUUGCUUGACAUGGACUUACGUCGGAGGGAGGAAAGGUGUAGUCCUGGAUGCCCUUUGGUUCAACAUCGUACCUAUUCUGUAGACGGGAUAGAAGCCAAGAAGACAUCGCUGCUUGAAUGAAUACGACACAAACUAUCCCUAGACGAU
Molecule: long non-coding RNA, 276 nt
Organism: Haliotis rufescens (red abalone)
Lineage: Eukaryota; Metazoa; Mollusca; Gastropoda; Lepetellida; Haliotidae
Exons: 2
Source: RefSeq, a predicted model, not a curated record